This is a long non-coding RNA of Daphnia carinata, 1148 nucleotides long. RefSeq lists it as uncharacterized. The record is from RefSeq and is a predicted model, not a curated record. Lineage: Eukaryota; Metazoa; Arthropoda; Branchiopoda; Diplostraca; Daphniidae. The transcript is spliced from 3 exons.
AUGUGCGGUAUUGAAUUUAUGUCCCAAAACCAUUCACCUUUUCCUUUUGCUUCUUCGCCAAUAUGUGAGAGCGUUGUCACCUCUUCUUUGCAGUACACAAAAGCCGAUAAGAACAUUUGGCAUAGUAUCAAUGACGUAAUUGGUUUAUACAAUUCGUGUCUAUUGACACGAAAGCAAAUUUUUACAUUUCUGUCCUAAAAACAGUUGCAUCUCAGGCAGAGCGUGGGUCAUUUGGCUAGGCUUGCAAGAUGAUUUCAAUACUUUUCGGUUCAUGGCCGUCAUAAGAAACUUGGAAUUUUAGAUCAAUAUUGCUUGCAACAUGUGCUUGUUGCGAGGGGAAAUGUUUUAGAAAUGAAGAGUCACCUGCAAAUCAUUUGUUAACCUGUAGUAUUAAGUUUGUUGCUGAAUGCAGCAAGUUCUGCUGAUGAAACUGGCAAACUUGGUUUUGAAACCGGCCAAUGAUCUAAACCAUGGAAACAUCGUCAUACCACACGCUGAUUGUCCAUCAGUGCUCGAAUGUUUACACGUCAGUUGACAAUGGGCCACAAAGCAGUUCAUCAUUUAAAGCGGAGAGAGUUGAAAUCUCAAAUGUGUGUGGUGUUCAGCAGAUUACCCUCUUUCAACGAAAACUAUAUAUGGUGCAUUUCCAGGGUUAUCGGUGUGACCCAGGAACCGAGCCCUGCCACCGCCCCGGUGUAGAAAAUGUCUCUGUCAUCCCGUGAUUGGCCCAUUCCAGGCAUGGAGGAGGUGGUGAGCCCCGGAUCACAGCCAAUCAGGUGUUUAGACCCGACUACUGCUUUCGUUUCGCAUUACGGCUGAUUUGGAAAAGUAUGGCAACAAAGGGUGGAAUCUAUUGCUCCGAAAUCUUUCGGAACAAUAACGGCAUUUUCCCCUAUUGUUCCGAAAUGUUUCGGAGCAAUACGGGCUUUUUUCACUAUUGCACCGAAACAUGUCGUUGCAAUAAGUGGCUUUAUUCGCUAUUGCACCGAAAUGUUUCGGAGCAAUAAAAUCAUUUAAUGAAAUAGAUGGUGACAGGUGACUCGUCAUAUUUUAAGGACCAUUUCGAAUGUGUAAUUAUUCUGUUUCUAUCAUCUUUGCUGAUUCAUCAAAGUAGGGAGAUAAAUAAAGAUGAAUAUCCCCACCCAUAA